GCCGGAGCUCGCCUCCUCUCCAUCAGUCGACCCAUCCCCAUCCUCAGUCACGCAGCUGGACUCCGAGAAUUCCGGUGUUUCAGCCUUACCACCUCUUUUCUUGCUAUAAAUCCUACACAACACCCAUUCUCUCUCCCUAGCCCCUACAAGCCUAUACUCAUGCAUCAUCCAAUUGGUCCUUUUUCCGCGAUAAUGAAAAACCAGUGUCCUCUUCAUACCUACCACAAUAUUUCCCUUCGAGACAAUGACACUCUCCUUCCCAGUCACCUUCCA
This 273-nucleotide unclassified non-coding RNA is filed under the name Hevea brasiliensis (rubber tree). Lineage: Eukaryota; Viridiplantae; Streptophyta; Magnoliopsida; Malpighiales; Euphorbiaceae. The record is from RNAcentral.